This 1368-nucleotide long non-coding RNA is filed under the name Homo sapiens (human). RNAcentral describes it as "long intergenic non-protein coding RNA 3133". Lineage: Eukaryota; Metazoa; Chordata; Mammalia; Primates; Hominidae. The record is from RNAcentral.
GGCCUCCACAUGUGACUUCUGCACCUCAUCUCUGGGAUGGUUUCAGUGGGUCCUAGAUUGCUUUCUGUGCUCCCUGGGACAGUUGGUGGCACUCUGUGAGACUACUCUGAGCAUGACUAUAGGACAGAGAGGAGACUGAGAAACACAAGAAGCACCAGAGUGGUUGAAAGGAGCUGAAGGUUCAGACAGCAACCUGGACACUAAGGGUCCAAAGCCAAGCCCAAGGUCAAGUAGCUGGACAGAGAAACAGCUGCAAGCACAGACUUGGAUCCUGACCUGAUUUUCUGCAGAAGCAAGUCCCUGUUUAGCCUUCUACUGCCUCCUUUUAGAAUGAAGCCAGACCAGUCCUUUCCAUCAUGGGCUCCUGUGGAAAAUGACCCCAGCUCAGCUCAGUAGUUGAUGGGACAUCUGAUUCAGGUUGGACCCAGCCCAGACAUCUGAUUCAAACAAUAUUCUUCUCCAGGAAUUUUGUAACCAGCACUGGUAAAGGGAGGGAAGUGCUCCCCAGUGGGGAGAGCUGCAGAAUGUGAGACUUGGAAACCAAAGGCCGCCAUGUUUUCUGUCUCAUGAUGGAAUCCAAUCUUCUUUGGCGGGGAAAAUAAAUGAAGCCAACACCAGACAACAUAUAUCAAGCAGGGGCCAUUGCUCCAGCCUGACUCCAGGAAUCAGCAGACAGCGCAGCCUCAUUCUCCACCUGCUCCCUGCAGUACAGCCUCAGAACCACACAGUUGCAGCCAACCAGCUCCUGACAUGGAACUUGAGCAACAAAUGCCCUUUGUUUUUGCAAGUCCCUGAGAUUUGGAAGUUGUUACACAGCAUUCUCUCAGCCAGAAGUGACUGACAUGGUAUCAUUGCAGUCUUGAUCAAUUUGCCCUAUGCAAAGUGUUUUUAUAUGCCAUGAAUUUCUGAAGAUAGAACUACUGUUAUUCCCCAUGCAGCAGCUGAGGAAACUGAGUCUUAGAAUGUAUAAACAACUUUCCCAAGGCUACUGAAAGUGAUGGGAAUCAAAUAUAUCUUUGCCUAACUCCAGAUCCCAUGCUUUUGAAGAUAUUUAUACUGCCUAAAGCUGUAACAGACUUUUCUAAUAGUCAUACAUGGCAUAUUUAGUUGCUCUCCAUGGGGAAAUAAUGACCUGACAUGGAAAAUAUUGGUGUACUUUAUUAUGAGAUUCUAAUAAGCAACCAUUAUACAUGUAUAUAAUAUAUACAUGCAACCUCUUAAGCUUAUGCCAUUCUGUAUGGAUGUUACUAGCUUGAAGAAAUUCUAAAGAGUAGGGAUAUUAAAAAUACUGAGCCAAUAAAGUAGGAUAAUUUUUUUAUUGUAGUCAAUUUUCAUUUAUAAUAUUAAAUUCUUGCACUCCCUUUCAAA